AGUGAACGCUGGCGGCAGGCCUAAUACAUGCAAGUCGAACGGCAGCACAGCAGAGCUUGCUCUGUGGGUGGCGAGUGGCGGACGGGUGAGGAAUACAUGGGAAUCUGCCCAGUCGUGGGGGAUAACGUAUGGAAACGUACGCUAAUACCGCAUGCGCCCUACGGGGGAAAGCCGGGGACCGCAAGGCCUGGCGCGAUUGGAUGAGCCCAUGUUCGAUUAGCUAGUUGGCGGGGUAAAGGCCCACCAAGGCGACGAUCGAUAGCUGGUCUGAGAGGAUGAUCAGCCACACUGGAACUGAGACACGGUCCAGACUCCUACGGGAGGCAGCAGUAGGGAAUAUUGGACAAUGGGGGCAACCCUGAUCCAGCCAUGCCGCGUGAGUGAAGAAGGCCCUCGGGUUGUAAAGCUCUUUUGUCCGGAAAGAAAGCAUCUGGUUAAUACCCGGGUGUUCUGACGGUACCGGAAGAAUAAGCA
This 474-nucleotide ribosomal RNA is filed under the name uncultured bacterium. Its description in RNAcentral is "bacterial SSU rRNA". It matches the Rfam family "Bacterial small subunit ribosomal RNA", at positions 29 to 492 of the family's 1533-position model. The record is from RNAcentral.